ACAUGCAAGUCGAGCGGUAACAUUUCUAGCUUGCUAGAAGAUGACGAGCGGCGGACGGGUGAGUAAUGCUUGGGAACAUGCCUUGAGGUGGGGGACAACAGUUGGAAACGACUGCUAAUACCGCAUAAUGUCUACGGACCAAAGGGGGCUUCGGCUCUCGCCUUUAGAUUGGCCCAAGUGGGAUUAGCUAGUUGGUGAGGUAAUGGCUCACCAAGGCGACGAUCCCUAGCUGGUUUGAGAGGAUGAUCAGCCACACUGGGACUGAGACACGGCCCAGACUCCUACGGGAGGCAGCAGUGGGGAAUAUUGCACAAUGGGCGCAAGCCUGAUGCAGCCAUGCCGCGUGUGUGAAGAAGGCCUUCGGGUUGUAAAGCACUUUCAGUCAGGAGGAAAGGUUAGUAGUUAAUACCUGCUAGCUGUGACGUUACUGACAGAAAAAUCACCUACUAACUCCGUGCCAGCAGCCGCGGUAAUACGGGAGGGGUGGCGGAGCGUUUAAUCAGGAAAUUAACUGGGGCGUGAAACGUACCCACGCUGUUUGUUUAAGCGAG
Molecule: ribosomal RNA, 551 nt
Filed under: uncultured bacterium
Lineage: Bacteria
Description: bacterial SSU rRNA
Rfam family: Bacterial small subunit ribosomal RNA (bases 1-490)
Source: RNAcentral